Long non-coding RNA from Pyrus x bretschneideri (Chinese white pear), 719 nucleotides. RefSeq lists it as uncharacterized. The transcript is spliced from 7 exons. The record is from RefSeq and is a predicted model, not a curated record. NCBI's taxonomy places the organism in Eukaryota, Viridiplantae, Streptophyta, Magnoliopsida, Rosales, Rosaceae.
GGUUUAGGGAGAAAAAGUAAGGGAGCAGCUUCCAAUCACUUCCCUCUCUCCCUUUGAAACAAUCAGUUUAUAAUCCCAUUUAGCAGAGUUAUGUCGCUUCCAAAUGAAGAAAAUGAUAAAUCCUCUUCUUCUGAUGCUCAGAAAUACAAAGUACCCAGAAAUCUGAAGUGGAAAAGAAAGGGAUGGACAGAAGUCCCAGGCAACAAUCUCUUUGUAAUCAUCGCCGGGAAAAUAUCGUGGUCAUUUUGAGCUCGGAUUCAGCCAGCAUGUACUUCAACUGUAGAUCUGUGCAAUUCUCAAGGACCUGCAUUAGCUCCUCUCCCUGAUCCUCCUAAUGAUUACGACACAUAUUACUCAAUGAAUCAAGCAAGAUCCACAAGGUUCAUGUACAUAUGUGACUAGCGGGUCAAGUUCCAUAAGGAGGUGGAAGCAGAAGAAUUGGCGUCACCCUUCAGUUUUUCAACCAAAAGGAGGUACUAUGAAUUGGGACCCGACAAUCCACCAUAUGCUGCCAAGUUCUACGACUUUUGUGGGGCUGAGGAUCCUGAGGCAUCUAGCUGCACUGCCAGUUUCCAUGUUUCGUAUAAUGACGAUUGAUCCAUGUAAUAUGUCUCUUUUAAGUUUCAUCAUUUCAUUCAGUCUUGCUCUUGCGCUGUAACCAAGGUUCUGUAUCUCCAAUAAUCUCAUCUCUUUUAUAUAAACAUGAAGUUGAUGCGUAA